Non-coding RNA from Gonium pectorale, 46 nucleotides. NCBI's taxonomy places the organism in Eukaryota, Viridiplantae, Chlorophyta, Chlorophyceae, Chlamydomonadales, Volvocaceae. The record is from Rfam.
ACCACGGUGUUUUUCAACACCACCUUACAUAUCAUACCUACUGCCG